AUACGUAGGGAGCGAGCGUUGUCCGGAAUUACUGGGUGUAAAGGGAGCGUAGACGGGAGUGCAAGUCAGAUGUGAAAUACAUGGGCUCAACCCAUGGGCUGCAUUUGAAACUGCAUUUCUUGAGUGAAGUAGAGGUAAGCGGAAUUCCUGGUGUAGCGGUGAAAUGCGUAGAUAUCAGGAGGAACACCGGUGGCGAAGGCGGCUUACUGGGCUUUUACUGACGCUGAGGCUCGAAAGCGUGGGGAGCAAACAGGAUUAGAUACCCUGGUAGUCCACGCUGUAAACGAUGAUUACUAGGUGUGGGGGGACUGACCCCUUCCGUGCCGCAGUUAACACAAUAAGUAAUCCACCUGGGGAGUACGGCCGCAAGGUUGAAACUCAAAUGAAUUGACGGGG
Molecule: ribosomal RNA, 396 nt
Filed under: uncultured bacterium
Lineage: Bacteria
Description: partial 16S ribosomal RNA
Rfam family: Bacterial small subunit ribosomal RNA
Source: RNAcentral